This 4600-nucleotide long non-coding RNA is filed under the name Homo sapiens (human). RNAcentral describes it as "non-protein coding lnc-PADI1-1:2". Lineage: Eukaryota; Metazoa; Chordata; Mammalia; Primates; Hominidae. The record is from RNAcentral.
AUUCUUGAAGACAGCUCGACCGUGAUGGAGGAGACAGGCAUUUAGAAUAAGCAUGAAAUAAAGGUGGCUGUUAAGGGGUCAGCUCCCCUCACCAAAGUCACUUUUGAUUUACUUACAAAAGUUUUCUUAAGAUUUCUUCAGAACCCAGGUCAAAAGGCUGUGGCAGGAGGCCAGGCAGAUCACAGCGUCCAUGCCUAGAUGCUCCCUGACCCCCAGGAACCAGAAGUGCUGUCUCCUGAAGGCUCUGGAAACCCGGAAUCAGCCUACGAGGCACCAGGGCCACCUUGGAGGGUGGAAAUGAGGACCUCAGGCCCCAGAGGGCAUGCAGGCGAGGUGAAGUUCAGGAGAGCCAGGAAGUGUCCCCCUCUUCCCGGCCUGCUGUAUCCCAGGACACAGGGCGUAAGUGUGGAGGAGGAAGGGCUGCAGGGUGAGGCAGCCCACACUUUGGCUCAGGACAGGGAUGGGACCGGGACAUAUGGGAAAAUAGUCUGGGGGUCCUGGGUAAUGGCAGGAGCAUGAGCUCAGGGUCGGGUGGCUGUCCUGGAUGACCUGUGGGACUCUCUUCCUCUCCAAGCCACGCUUUCCUCAACUGUCCCUUCCUUGUGGGAUGCAAGAGGCCACGGCGAGCGAAGGCAUGUGCCAAGAGCUGCCACUCAAUGUGAGUCAGCGUGCUGGUCCUCCCUCCUUUUCUCCAGGGGGCCUAGGACUUUUGGGGGGAGCCUGAGGACAUGCUUCGCUGAUGUCACUGUGUGGAGUGUACAAAUGGCCACCCUGCUGCUCGUUGGUUCUAUAUGGGCAUCCAGGCUGGAGAGCAGGGGGUGGGGAGAUGGAGAUGCCACCAGCAGGGGACUGGUUCCUAGAAGAGAGGGCGAGUUUGGGUGGUCCCAGAGGUGUUCUUCCCAGAAAAGAGAGCAGGAGGCAGGAGGUGGGCAUGGAGAAUGUGGAGGGGGGCAUUGACAGUGUUCUCCACCACCCAUCAGAUAAGACCUGGAGCCUCAUUACCAAAGACUUAAUGAGAUUCGCUUUGUUUUCUUAUGAGCCAGACCUCUCUGGGCCUUAGACUCCUUAUCCAUGAGCUUCCUGCCUGCACCCUAACAUUCAGUGUCAUUGGCCGAGUUACCCAAUGGCUCCCAGCCUCAGUUUCUUCAUCUGCACAUUAGGGAUAAGUACAGCCAUCCACCUGGGAGGUGUCAAGGGGGUGUGGCCGCAGCACCCAGCCCAUGCACAAGUUCAGUGAUCAUUACCUGUCUCCCCCAGCCCUGCCUGAGUGCCAGGAUCAGCAGGCUUGGGAAGGGGGAGCCCCCAGGGAUGUGGAAAGUGGAGAGGGAGCACAUGGGCUCUGGGGCCUCGGGGCUCCUGGGCUCUGUUCUGCCUGUCUGGGAGCUGUCUCCUGCUCUCCCUUGCAGUGUCUCUGUCUCUCUUCGUUCUGUUCCUCCCUCUGUCCUUCAGUUUUUCCCUCUCCAUCUCAGUCUCUGGUUGUCUCAGUCUCUCUUUGCACCUCACUGUCUCUGCCUUUCUCUGCAUCUCUCUUCCUUUCCUGGGCUCUCUCUCUCUCUUUCAUCCCUGUUUUGGGCUUUCUCUGUCUGUGUCUCUCUGUUUUUCAGUCUGCUUCUUUCUGUCUCCGUUCAUUUCUCUGUAUGUCUUUGUCCCCUGCACUCCCAUUCUCCUCCCAUGCUGUCCUCUCUGGGGGCUCCUCUGGCUUCACUGGGCCACAGGCCCAGGCUGGGGUGUGAAGAAGCAGGAGCUCCCCCGUCAGAUGACGCUAGGUGCCCCAGUCAGGGCAGUGGGGGCCAGACAAAGAGCUCUGCGAGGGGUGGCAAAAUCCUCUUCCCAGGGAAGGGAAUGUGGGGGCUACUGGCCAGCUGUGGGAUGGGUGGCUGAGAACUCUCAUACCACUGUAAAUUCUAGAUGUUUUUCACUUAUAUCAGCUUCCUGAUCCCCCUGAGCCAAAGGCCUAGAAGGUCCCUGUCCCUGUCCUUUUGGAAUGUGCAGUCUUACUUACCAGAGUGACAAGGGGAACAGAGUUGAAACAGGUGGUUUCCCAGCACAGGAGCCUGUGGGGGCUGCUUAGAGAACAGCACAUUCCCUGGGAGCCAGAGCCAUCUGGGAGGGCUUUCUGGAGGAGGCAGAUCAUGAGGGAUCAGGAUGGGGACUAAUAUGUGCUGAGUGCCUGGUGGUGCUUUAUAAGUAUCAGCAGAUUGGGAGAUAAGCAUAGCCACCCUGUGGAGACACCUGGGAGGUGUCAAGGGGCAUGCAUUGUAAAGGCCCAGAGUGGUGAAGCAUCCACCAGCUGGUAAGUGGUAGCCUCGGGUGGGGCCUGUCGCUGUCCCCAUGCUCUGUCCACUACUGGUGUGGCUUGCCCCACUUGUGACCAUCGUUUCUUCCCCUCCACCCCCAGUGCCACUUCCUCUCUCCCUCGUUGUAGGGGAAAGAACAUGGGCUGUGUGGCCUUGGACCAAUUGCUUGCCCUCUCUGGGCCUUCUUAUUGGUGACAGACAGACUGGUGACUUUCUGAGAGGAUCUAUGCAACCUCAGGCUCCUGCACCUGGGUUACAGGGUCUUCUGGAGGGGAAGAGAUGAGCAGGUAGGCUUUGACACCUGCCUGCUUUGUCCUGAGUGUCUACUAUGUCAUCUGCUUUAAAUGCGAAGUCCCUGGGACUUGCGAGUUAUCUCUAAGCCUUCUCUUUUCCUGACUUUCUGGGAGUGUGUGUACCCCCAUUCCCUCACCCCAGCCAUCAGGGCCCUUUCUGAGUUGGGCCUCCUUCCUAGCUCUGGGCUAGGCCCCAACCCUGGCCCUUUCCAAGGCCAGCAGGAACUGGAAGGUCCGUACUCAUGCCCUGGGAGGCUCCAGGCUCUAAGGGGUGCUGGAGUGAUGGAGUUGGGCGGCUGGUGCUCAGAGGACCUUAAUGGUGUGGGGACAGCUGGAAACUGGUUGUCUCUUGAACCCUCUUGCCACCAGGCCUCUGUCCAGGAGGGCUGCUGGGGGCCAAUGGGCCAGACACCAGACAGUCACACCUUUGGCAGGGCUGAAGUCGGGGGGUGUGUGACACAAUGGGAGGGGCUGGGCCUGGCAGUCCCUGCAGCCUAUAAGCACCAGCAACCCAUGAGGGGACACAGGCACCCUCUGGCCUCAUCCUUCUUGGAGCCAGUGGGAUGUAGCAACUAAAAUACAAGCUCUGAAGUUUCAUGGACUGGAGUUGCAUCUCUGCUUCCAUCCUAAUUAGCAAGAGACCUUGGUCACGUUGCUUAAACUCUGACACUAGAUUUUCCCCCUCUGCAAAGCAAGGACAAUAGCAGUGCUCCCUUCCCGGGUCAGUUGCAAGGAUUAAGGAUGAUGUCUGCAAAGUGCUUAGUCAGAGCCGGCAUACGGUAAGUGCUCAAUAAAUGCUGGCUCCCAUUAUUAGUAUCCCUUCCCUCCACGCCCUCAACACAUCCCUUUAUCAUGAUGGAAUAACCAAUUGCCUGGUAACAACAUGUUCACACUUCCACGCUCCCCAUCAACCAUGCUCACCUAUAAGGCAGGCUGCGACCAGCUCCUCUUCAUCUAUUCAUUGCCUGGCCCAUGCUAGGGGCCCAAGAAAUGUCUGCUGCAUCAACGAGUGAUUUUGGGAAAGGUGCUGAGCCCUUCUGUCCCAUGAAGUUCUUGCGAGACAGUGUCUCACCAGCAACCUGGAUCGUGAGAACCACAGCGGGUGGGCCAGAUCUAGAUGGAGAGUGUCCAUUGGGCAGAGCUGCUUCUGUGAAAGGAAAGGAAGUUUUUCAAGAAACCAUGAGGGGGGCCCAAGAAUCCAAGUUUCUAACUCUGGGAUCGGUUUUCUGUCUUUUACCUCGGUUUGCCUCUCCCUAGCUGUGUGGUUUAUGGCAAGUCACUCUGUGCCUCUGUCUCCACGUGUUCAAGGAGGCAGCCGGUCCAAGGGGCCUUCAUAGAAGGGGCUGCCGAGAUGUGAGCCCUGCAUUGGGGGGAUGCCCCACAGAGGUGCUGUCCCCCAUCCCCUUUCCAGGUAUGAGUGUCCCCCAGCUCUGAGUGAAUCAGUAGGAGGUGCUGGACCUGGGCUGAUUCUCACAGUGGGACCUCAACUCUAGCCCCGGGUUGGCUGACAUUAGAGGACUUUGGGUCGUUGUUCUGGCAGCUGCAAGGAAGAGCCAAUGUCAGGGAGGGAAACCCCACAUUCCCUGGCACUAUCCAAACAAAGGUUUGGUUAAAACAAAGAAUUCUCAUGGAGAAGAGUCUGAAGGACCCAAAACACAUAUUUCUGUAGACAUCCCAUCCCAAAAUAAACCCAUGGAUCAAGCCAGACCCAAAUACAAGGAUGCUGUGAACCACAUGGUUGAAUAUUCCACACUUUCCCCAUCCAUUAAACCCCACCCAGGGUGGGAAGGGGAUGGAUUUCCCUCAGUUCUCAGGGCCUAGAAGAGCAGGGCUUUUUUCCCUCAACUGGUUGAGUUUUACUUUGUGAGCACCAUGAUUCCUAAAACCAGUUAUAUUUUCUUUUUCUCUUGGGCCGCCAGGGAACUCACAGCGAAAUCUACCAACCAAAGAGGAUGUCCAUACCUGUCUUUUUCUUUCUUCCUUCAUUUUUUGACUUAAUUUCCUCACUUG